GGUUCGAUCCUGGCUCAGAUUGAACUGGCGGGAUGCUUUACAUGCAGUCAGACGGCUGGACCUUCAGUCUGGGUGGCGGGGUGGCGAACGGGUGAGUAAUGUAUCGGAACGUGCCUGGUAGCGCGGGGAUAACUACGCGAAAGCGUAGCUAGUACAUACGCCCUUCGAGGGGAAAGCGGGGGACCUUCGGGCCUCGCACUAUUAGAGCGGCCGAUAUCGGAUUAGCCUAGUUGGUGGGGUAACGGCUCACCGAGGCGACGAUCCGUAGCUGGUUUGAGAGGACGACCAGCCACACUGGGACUGAGACACGGCCCAGACUCCUGCAGGAGGCAGCAGUGGGAAUUUUUGGACAAUGGGGGAAACCCUGAUCAGCCAUCCCGCGUAUUGCGAUGAAGGCCUUCGGGUUGUAAAGCACUUUUGGCAGGAAAGAAACGGCGCGGGAUAAUACCCCGUGCAACUGACGGUACCUGCAGAAUAAAAGCACCGGCUAACUACGUGCCAGCAACCGCGGUAAUACGUAAAGUGCAAGCGUUAAUCCGGAUCUGGGCGUCAGCGUGCGCGGGCGGUUCGGAAGAAGAUGUGAAAUCCCGAAUACUUUGGAACUGCGUUUUCUUUACCGAGCUAGAGUGUGUCAGAGGGGAGGUGGAAUUCGCGUGUAGCAGUGAAAUGCGUAGAUAUGCGGAGGAACACGAUGACGAAGGCAGCCUCUGGGAUAACACUGACGCUCAUGCACGAAAAGCGUGGAGCAAAUGGUUGAUCACCCUGGUAGUCCACGCCUAAACGAUGUGUCAACUAGCUGUUGGGGCCUUCCGGGCCUUGGUAGCGCAGCUAACGCGUGAAGUUGACCGCCUGGGGAGUACGGUCGCAAGAUUAAACUCAAAGGAAUUGACGGGGACCCACCUGGCGGUGGAUGAUGUGGAUUAAUUCGAUGCAACGCGAAAAACCUUACCUACCCUUGACAUGUCUGGAAUCCCGAAGAGAUUUGGGAGUGCUCGCAAGAGAGAACCGGAACACAGGUGCUGCAUGGCUGUCGUCAGCUCGUGUCGAUGGGAUAUUUGGGUUAAGUCCCGCAACAGCGCAACCCUUAUCGGUAGUUGCUACGAAGACGCUCUAAUGAGACUGCCAGUGACAAACCGGAGGAAGGUGGAUAGUCAGUCCUCAUGGCCCUUAUGGGCGGGGCCACACGUCGCCGUGGUCGGGACAGAGGGUCGCCAACCCGCGAGGGAGCCAAUCCCAGAAACGAUCGUAGUCCGGAUCGCAGUCUGCAACUCGACUGCGUGAGGCCGGAAUCCUUCAAUGUCGCGGAUCAGCAUGUCGCGGUGAAUACGUUCCCGGGUCUUGUACACCGCCCGUCACACCAUGGGAAUUGGGUUUUAUGAGUAGUAGCCUAACCGUAAGGGAGGGCGAUUACCACGGUAGGAUUCAUGGCGGAAGCUGGGGUGAAGUCGUAACAAGGUAA
RNAcentral lists this ribosomal RNA (1459 nucleotides) under uncultured Bordetella sp. RNAcentral's name for it is "partial 16S-23S ribosomal RNA intergenic spacer". It matches the Rfam family "Bacterial small subunit ribosomal RNA". Lineage: Bacteria; Pseudomonadati; Pseudomonadota; Betaproteobacteria; Burkholderiales; Alcaligenaceae. The record is from RNAcentral.